UACGUAGGGGGCGAGCGUUGUCCGGAGUUACUGGGCGUAGAGCGCACGCAGGCGGUCUGCUAAGUUUGGAGUGACAGUUGGUGGCUUAACUGCCAAAGUGCUUCGAAAACUGACAGACUUGAGGGCUUCAGAGGGACACGGAAUUCCGGGUGGAGUGGUGAAAUGCGUAGAGAUCCGGAGGAACACCAAAGGCGAAGGCAGUGUCCUGGGGAGUACCUGACGCUCAGGUGCGAAAGCCAGGGGAGCGAACGGG
This 253-nucleotide ribosomal RNA is filed under the name uncultured bacterium. RNAcentral's name for it is "partial 16S ribosomal RNA". It matches the Rfam family "Bacterial small subunit ribosomal RNA", at positions 524 to 776 of the family's 1533-position model. The record is from RNAcentral.